UGGAAAGAUAGCGAAGAGGCUAAACGCGGCGGACUGUAAAUCCGCUCCUUCGGGUUCGGGGGUUCGAAUCCCUCUCUUUCCAUCCU
Molecule: transfer RNA, 86 nt
Filed under: Streptococcus equi subsp. zooepidemicus MGCS10565
Lineage: Bacteria; Bacillati; Bacillota; Bacilli; Lactobacillales; Streptococcaceae
Description: tRNA-Tyr
Rfam family: tRNA
About the family: Transfer RNA (tRNA) molecules are approximately 80 nucleotides in length. Their secondary structure includes four short double-helical elements and three loops (D, anti-codon, and T loops).
Source: RNAcentral